CAAUGUAAUCUUUUGAUACUCUCUCUUAUUGAAUCCCUUGAUUAUUUAUAUGGUCUCCAUAUGAUUUGAUUGAUUAUUGUUGGGUUAUCAUCUGUGCUUAAGGCCUUUAUCAUUUAACUCAUUCGGUAUAUUGAUGUUUGUCUUUAUUGAUAUGGGGACGUACAGUAAUGACAUUAACUGGUGAGUGAUCUCUUGAUUUUGCAAUACCACCUAGGGAUAGGGGUAGGACGAUCAAUUGCGCUAACUUCUGUUUAUAAUGCGGUAUUAAUUACUAGGGGAGGCUAGNGAUAGCAAGCCAGUAGUUAAUAUUAGGCCCUUUUCGCCGAUGGAUCGGGUUAAGGGGAGGCUAAGAAAGUCGCAUAACAAUUGAAUCAAUCUAAUAUUCAAGGGUAGUAUGUAAGAGAGAGCGGAAUAGAUGAAAUUGUAAACCCCCAACAAUAUCCAUUCCUCCAUUGUUUUCGUUUGUCAAUUGAAUCAACUUUAUUUUUGCAUGUUAAUAUUUUUGUUCUCAAAUCCAAUUUAUUAAUUUUUAUUUUUCAAGUCUUAUCAUUUUAAUUCACGCGAACGAGAAAGUCAUACGAGUCUCUUGGGAAAACGAUACUUGGUCUUACCAUUUAUAUUACUUGUACGAUUUUGUACACUUGCCAAUUUGUCAACACUUAGCCAUCCUUGAAAUUCGAACCCUUCAUCUUUGAAAAACUUCAACUUCAAAAAUUUGUGUGUUACCAAGUUUCUCAUCUUCCAGCAGUCGAGAUACUUUGACUGUAUUUCAUUAUCACUGAUCCAGC
This 788-nucleotide long non-coding RNA is filed under the name Vigna radiata. Its description in RNAcentral is "long non-coding RNA (VRAD_LNC010469)". Lineage: Eukaryota; Viridiplantae; Streptophyta; Magnoliopsida; Fabales; Fabaceae. The record is from RNAcentral.